Cannabis sativa is the source of this 614-nucleotide long non-coding RNA. RefSeq lists it as uncharacterized. The transcript has 2 exons. The record is from RefSeq and is a predicted model, not a curated record. Lineage: Eukaryota; Viridiplantae; Streptophyta; Magnoliopsida; Rosales; Cannabaceae.
UGCCUCUUUCAUUAGCUUCUUUCUCAACUGUUCAUUUCUGAAGCAGAGAGAGAUUGAGUUUAAGCUUUGAACUGGGAAGGCCUAAUCAAGUUACUGGCGCAUCUGAAGCCAUCGUUGUGAAAAAACUCAAAACUCUAGGUUCUUUGUAUGAACAACUCAAGAAAAGAUCAAGAACAACCUAAUCAAGGCAAGGCUCUUCUCUGUUUACCAAUACAAAUAAUUCACAUUACUUAAGCUUUUUUUUUUUCCAAAAAAACUAAUAAAUCCUAACUGCAGCAGUUGCAAAGUCAGCCACCAUAACAAUAUUUGCUGCCUAUGCUGAGGACGAGGCACAAAUACUGACUAUGCAUUUCCUCCACUAAACCACUAUUUUUUACCUUUGACUUUGGGAGUUUUUUUCUUGGUUAUUCCUCCACCAAACCAAACCACUAUUUUCUACCUUAUCAAGGCUAAUGGUGUUGGUGAUUGUGAUGACGACCAUGGAGGGCUCUUCUUCUCCACCAUUUGUUUAAAAUCCAUCAGGUAUUUGUUUAUUGGGUUUCUGUUUGUUUCAGUUUUGCUUCUGUUUGUUUUGCUCUGAUUUUGCUAUUACUCUGUUUACCCUUUAUGCAUUA